GAGAGAGAAAGGGAGGAGAAACUUAGAGAAAAAACAAUUUUGACCAAAAUCUAAGCCCCGAAUCGCGAAGCUCAUGAAGAGAAAAACGUCGUACGUUGCGUUGCCUUCAAUUUGAGCUAAAUAUUGGUCUUGGGGGAUGAAAUUUUCGUGGUGGAGCUGCUGCUAAGAUUUUGGCGAAUUUGAAACUUGAUUUUGGAGACGUGUAUGAAGCGGAAAAGGUCAACAGACAGACGAGUUUAAUCCCUAGGAGCUUCACCAGCUGUUCCUUGAGAGUGCUCCAGUUGAUCCGGAGCUUCAGCCUAUUGGUACUACUUUUGUGUAUAUAAUCGGGCACGGCAGAACC
Molecule: long non-coding RNA, 343 nt
Organism: Lycium barbarum (goji berry)
Lineage: Eukaryota; Viridiplantae; Streptophyta; Magnoliopsida; Solanales; Solanaceae
Exons: 3
Source: RefSeq, a predicted model, not a curated record